UCCUACGGGAGGCUGCAGUGGGGAAUUUUGGACAAUGGGGGCAACCCUGAUCCAGCCAUGCCGCGUGAGUGAAGAAGGCCUUCGGGUUGUAAAGCUCUUUCAGUUGGGAAGAAAAGGUGCCCUCUAACAUAGGGUGCUGCUGACGGUACCGACAGAAGAAGCACCGGCUAACUACGUGCCAGCAGCCGCGGUAAUACGUAGGGUGCGAGCGUUAAUCGGAAUUACUGGGCGUAAAGCGUGCGCAGGCGGUUCGCUAAGACAGGUGUGAAAUCCCCGGGCUUAACCUGGGAACUGCGCUUGUGACUGGCGGGCUAGAGUACGGCAGAGGGGGGUGGAAUUCCACGUGUAGCAGUGAAAUGCGUAGAGAUGUGGAGGAACACCGAUGGCGAAGGCAGCCCCCUGGGCCGAUACUGACGCUCAUGCACGAAAGCGUGGGGAGCAAACAGGAUUAGAUACCCUAGUAGUC
This 466-nucleotide ribosomal RNA is filed under the name uncultured Rhodocyclaceae bacterium. RNAcentral describes it as "bacterial SSU rRNA". It matches the Rfam family "Bacterial small subunit ribosomal RNA", at positions 337 to 795 of the family's 1533-position model. Lineage: Bacteria; Pseudomonadati; Pseudomonadota; Betaproteobacteria; Rhodocyclales; Rhodocyclaceae. The record is from RNAcentral.